GAUGAACGCUGGCGGCGUGCCUAAUACAUGCAAGUCGAACGCUUCACUUCGGUGAAGAGUGGCGAACGGGUGAGUAAUACAUAAGUAACCUGGCAUCUACAGUGGGAUAACUGAUGGAAACGUCAGCUAAGACCGCAUAGGUGUAGAGAUCGCAUGAACUCUAUAUGAAAAGUGCUACGGGACUGGUAGAUGAUGGACUUAUGGCGCAUUAGCUUGUUGGUAGGGUAACGGCCUACCAAGGCGACGAUGCGUAGCCGACCUGAGAGGGUGACCGGCCACACUGGGACUGAGACACGGCCCAGACUCCUACGGGAGGCAGCAGUAGGGAAUUUUCGGCAAUGGGGGAGACCCUGACCGAGCAACGCCGCGUGAAGGAAGAAGUAAUUCGUUAUGGGAACUUCAGUCAUAGAGGAAGAACGGUGAAUAUAGGGAAUGAUAUCCAAGUGACGGUACUCUAUAAGAAAGCCACGGCUAACUACGUG
This 482-nucleotide ribosomal RNA is filed under the name uncultured bacterium. RNAcentral describes it as "partial 16S ribosomal RNA". It matches the Rfam family "Bacterial small subunit ribosomal RNA", at positions 28 to 507 of the family's 1533-position model. The record is from RNAcentral.